Molecule: ribosomal RNA, 467 nt
Filed under: uncultured ciliate
Lineage: Eukaryota; Ciliophora
Description: SSU rRNA
Rfam family: Eukaryotic small subunit ribosomal RNA
Source: RNAcentral
AUUUGUCUGGUUAAUUCCGAUAACGAACGAGACCUUAACCUGCUAACUAGUUCUCAAUACUCUGUAUUCUGCAACUUCUUAGAGGGACUAUGUAAAUCAAUUACAUGGAAGUUUGAGGCAAUAACAGGUCAGUGAUGCCCUUAUAUGUCCUGGGCUGCACGCGUGCUACACUGAUGCAUACAACAAGUGCCUAGCCAGACAUGGUAUGGCAAUCUCGAAUAUGCAUCGUGAUGGGGAUAGAUCUUUGCAAUUAUAGAUCUUGAACGAGGAAUUCCUAGUAAGUGCAAGUCAUCAUCUUGCAUUGAUUAUGUCCCUGCCCUUUGUACACACCGCCCGUCGCUCCUACCGAUACCGGGUGAUCCGGUGAACCUUUUGGACUCCGUACGGGGGAAGAUAAGUAAACCAUAUCACCUAGAGGAAGGAGAAGUCGUAACAAGGUUUCCGUAGGUGAACCUGCRGAAGGAUCA